This 467-nucleotide ribosomal RNA is filed under the name uncultured bacterium. RNAcentral's name for it is "partial 16S ribosomal RNA". It matches the Rfam family "Bacterial small subunit ribosomal RNA", at positions 28 to 506 of the family's 1533-position model. The record is from RNAcentral.
GAUGAACGCUGGCGGCGUGCUUAACACAUGCAAGUCGAACGGUGAAGGCGGAGCUUGCUCUGCUGGAUCAGUGGCGAACGGGUGAGUAACACGUGAGCAAUCUGCCCCUGACUCUGGGAUAAGCGCUGGAAACGGCGUCUAAUACUGGAUACGAGCUGCGAAGGCAUCUUCAGCAGCUGGAAAGAACUUCGGUCAGGGAUGAGCUCGCGGCCUAUCAGCUUGUUGGUGAGGUAACGGCUCACCAAGGCGUCGACGGGUAGCCGGCCUGAGAGGGUGACCGGCCACACUGGGACUGAGACACGGCCCAGACUCCUACGGGAGGCAGCAGUGGGGAAUAUUGCACAAUGGGCGAAAGCCUGAUGCAGCAACGCCGCGUGAGGGAAGACGGCCUUCGGGUUGUAAACCUCUUUUAGCAGGGAAGAAGCGAAAGUGACGGUACCUGCAGAAAAAGCGCCGGCGAACUACGU